UACGGAGGGUGCAAGCGUUAUCCGGAUUCACUGGGUUUAAAGGGUGCGUAGGCGGUCCUAUAAGUCAGUGGUGAAAUAUCGCAGCUCAACUGUGAGGGUGCCAUUGAUACUGUAGGACUUGAGUGAAUUUGAGGUAGGCGGAAUUGACGGUGUAGCGGUGAAAUGCUUAGAUAUCGUCAAGAACACCGAUAGUGAAGACAGCUUACCAAGCUUCAACUGACGCUGAGGCACGAAAGUGUGGGGAUCAAACAGG
This 253-nucleotide ribosomal RNA is filed under the name uncultured bacterium. RNAcentral's name for it is "partial 16S ribosomal RNA". It matches the Rfam family "Bacterial small subunit ribosomal RNA", at positions 524 to 776 of the family's 1533-position model. The record is from RNAcentral.